RNAcentral lists this ribosomal RNA (447 nucleotides) under uncultured bacterium. Its description in RNAcentral is "bacterial SSU rRNA". It matches the Rfam family "Bacterial small subunit ribosomal RNA", at positions 329 to 793 of the family's 1533-position model. The record is from RNAcentral.
UGCCAGACUCCUACGGGAGGCAGCAGUGGGGAAUAUUGCACAAUGGGGGAAACCCUGAUGCAGCGACGCCGCGUGAGUGAAGAAGUAUUUCGGUAUGUAAAGAUCUAUCAGCAGGGAAGAAAAUGACGGUACCUGACCAAGAAGCCCCGGCUAACUACGUGCCAGCAGCCGCGGUAAUACGUAGGGGGCAAGCGUUAUCCGGAUUUACUGGGUGUAAAGGGAGCGUAGACGGUUGUGCAAGUCAGAAGUGAAAGCCCGGGGCUCAACUCCGGGACUGCUUUUGAAACUGUGAAACUGGAGUGCAGGAGAGGUAAGCGGAAUUCCUGGUGUAGCGGUGAAAUGCGUAGAUAUCAGGAGGAACACCAGUGGCGAAGGCGGCUUACUGGACUGUAACUGACGUUGAGGCUCGAAAGCGUGGGGAGCACACAGGAUUAGAUACCCCCGUAA